RNAcentral lists this ribosomal RNA (250 nucleotides) under uncultured bacterium. RNAcentral's name for it is "partial 16S ribosomal RNA". It matches the Rfam family "Bacterial small subunit ribosomal RNA", at positions 524 to 773 of the family's 1533-position model. The record is from RNAcentral.
UACGUAAGGGGCGAGCGUUGUUCGGAAUUAUUGGGUGUAAAGGGCGCGUAGGCGGUUUUACAAGUCCGGUGUAUAAGGCAGCAGCUUAACUGUUGUUUUGCGCUGGAAACUGUGAGACUUGAGUUUAGGAGGGGGAGCUGGAAUUCCAGGUGUAGGGGUGAAAUCUGUAGAUAUCUGGAAGAACACCGGUGGCGAAGGCGAGCUCCUAGCCAUAGACUGACGCUGAGGCGCGAAAGCGUGGGGAGCAAAC